UCUCCGUUGGUGAACCAGCGGAGGGAUCAUUACAGGACUCGCAAGACUCCUACAACCCUGUGAACUUAACUAUAAGCACGUUGCUUCGGCGGGUGUCUCGGAGGGGGUUCUCCCUCCCCGAGACGCUAAACCCGCCGGCAGCCUACUAUACUCUGUCUCUUUGCGUUGGCAUCUCGAGUACAAUCAAACAAGUUAAAACUUUCAACAACGGAUCUCUUGGUUCUA
This 225-nucleotide unclassified non-coding RNA is filed under the name plant metagenome. RNAcentral describes it as "partial contains small subunit ribosomal RNA, internal transcribed spacer 1, and 5.8S ribosomal RNA". The record is from RNAcentral.